GCCGGGCACAGUGGUGCGUGCCUCUAAUCCCAGCAGCUCGGGAGGCUGAGGCAGGAGGAUCAUGAGUUCAAAGCCAGCCUCAGCAAAAGCGAGGCACUAAUCAACUCAGUGAGACCCUGUCUCUA
This 125-nucleotide small RNA is filed under the name Marmota monax (woodchuck). Lineage: Eukaryota; Metazoa; Chordata; Mammalia; Rodentia; Sciuridae. The record is from RNAcentral.